Molecule: long non-coding RNA, 2198 nt
Organism: Zonotrichia leucophrys gambelii
Lineage: Eukaryota; Metazoa; Chordata; Aves; Passeriformes; Passerellidae
Exons: 2
Source: RefSeq, a predicted model, not a curated record
UCGGCCGCGGUGCCACCGGGAUCCCACCGGGAUCGGCCGCAGCACCGCCGGGACGUUCUUGGGACCGUGUUGGGAUCAUGGCAGGGAUGGUCGGAGGCACGCCAGAAUCGGCCUGGGUGUCACUGGGAUCCCACCGGGAUCCAGGAAGGGUCAGCGGGGCACACCGGGAUCAGCCGCGGGACUGCCGGCAUCUGCUCCAGGUCAGCCCUGCACCUCUCCAGGUCAGCCCUGCACCAUGAGGAUCUCCUCCUGGUCAGAGCUGCACCUCCAGGAUCUCCUCCAGGUCAGCCCUGCACCUCCAGGAUCUCCUCCAGGUCAGCCCUGCACCUCCAGGAUCUCCUCCUGGUCAGAGCUGCACCUCCAGGAUCUCCUUCAGGUCAGCCCUGCACCUCCAGGAUCUCCUCCUGGUCAGCCCUGCACCUCCAGGAUCUCCUCCUGGUCAGAGCUGCACCUCCAGGAUCUCCUCCAGGUCAGCCCUGCACCUCUCCAGGUCAGCCCUGCACCUCCAGGAUCUCCUCCAGGUCAGAACUGCACCUCCAGGAUCUCCUCAGGAUCACGCCUGGGUCACUCCCAGGAUCACCAGGAUCAGCCAUGGGAUCACUAAAUCUCCAUGGGAUCACCAGGACCAUACCAGGCUGACCCUUGGGAUCACCAGGGCCAUACCAGGUCAUUUCCCAUCUUCCCGGUCCCUGGGAGAGCUCCUCCCUGGAAUGGUGCUGGAGCACUUCAGGAGAGCCAGCUGCUUCUGGGAUGCCUGUUCACAUGGAAUCCUCCAAACCACAUUUACACAUUCCAAUAUUGAGAUUUCAGGGAUUUUCCCAGAUUUGGGAGCAUGGUGUGGGCAGGAGGGACCCACAGGGACGAGGUGGGAAGCAGAGGAGGGGUGGAUAUAGGGAAGGACAGAGGAAGGUUUAGUUCCAAUCUUGUGCAAGCGUUUUCCUGGGAAAUCCAGCCUGGCCUGAAUUCCCAGCAGCUUUUGGAACCUCUGGAAUUGGAUCAUGACAAGGAAAAGGUGAUUUCUGGGAUCCAACAAAUUCAGACAAACUGAGCCCAUGGAUCCAUUCCCUUUCCCAGUUCUCCAUGGAACUGGGGGCGGCCUGGGGAGAAUCUGGGGUGCCUGAAUUCAGGAUGCUCCCACCAUCCGUGGCUGCUGCUGCUUUUGGCAGCAGGAUGUUCCUGACAGCUGGGGGUGCUGACUUUGGGGCGUUCAGCAUUCUCCUGCCAGAUCCCAAACCCUUCUGAGGGAGCUGCAGGGGCUCAUCCUGGACAAGAGGAGGCUCAGGGGGCACCUUCUGGCUCCUGCAGUUCCCUGCAAGGAGGGAGGUUGGAGCCAGGAGGGGUCGGGCUGUGCUCCCAGGGAGCAGCACCAGAGGGAAGGGCCUCAAGGGCAGGUUCAGGUGGGAUAUUGGGAAUGUUCCUCCUGGAAAGGGCUCUCCGAGAGAGAGAGAUCUCAAACUCUGCAGAGCUGCCCAGGGCAGGGGUGGGGUGCCCAUCCCUGCAGGGAUUGAAAAGCCCUGUGGAUGUGGCCCUUGGGGACAUGGUCAGGGGUGGCAUUGGCAGUGCUGAGGAAUGGUUGGACUUGAUCUUGGAGGGCUUUUCCAACCAAAACCAUUCCGUGAUUCCCCAGAAAUGAAUCUUUGUUCCAUUCCCUUCUCCAACAGGCCAAGCCAUGACUUGUUGCUGCAAUGGGAGCAAGCCCAGGAGAGUGCAGCUCCAGGACAGAGGGAAUCAGGAGCAACCUGGGUUACCCCCAGCAGCCUCUGUGCUGUGAUCCUGCCUUUUCCAGAGGCUCAGGAACACCACUGGAGCUGCCUGGCUCCUGUCCUGUCCAAACAGCGCCAUCGAUCCCCAGUAACUCCCUCCUGCCCAAAGGUUGUGUGGGUCGCUUCUCCUGCUGUUUAUUUUUAUAAAUCGAUGGUGGACGCGAGCAGGGGGCCCUUGCUGAGGUGCCAUUCCUUGGGGAAUGCUGGGAUGCAGGCUAUGAGAUGGACAGGAAGGUCAGGGCUUUCUUCUUGUCAGCAGCCGGGAGCAGUCCGGGUUUCCUGUGCAUGCUCUGGAGGGAAUCCAGGGAGCUGCUGAAGGUUUGCUGGGAACAGGGAACACAAAGGGGUCACUGAGCUCAGCUCGGCUCUCACAGCACACUUCUCACCUGUAAAAACUUAUUUUUCUCAAAAAUAAAACCAAAUGCCAUCUCAGAC